GACGAACGCUGGCGGCGUGCCUAAUACAUGCAAGUCGAGCGGAACUGGGGGAGCUUGCUCCUUCCAGUUUAGCGGCGGACGGGUGAGUAACACGUGGGCAACCUGCCCUGCAGAUCGGGAUAACUCCGGGAAACCGGUGCUAAUACCGAAUAGUUUGGCGCCUCUCCUGAGGCGCUACGGAAAGACGGUUUCGGCUGUCACUGCAGGAUGGGCCGGCGGCGCGUUAGCUAGUUGGUGGGGUAACGGCCCACCAAGGCGACGAUGCGUAGCCGACCUGAGAGGGUGACCAGCCACACUGGGACUGGGACACGGCCCAGACUCCUACGGGGGGCAGCAGUAGGGAAUCUUCCGCAAUGGACGCAAGUCUGACGGAGCAACGCCGCGUGAGUGACGAAGGUUUUCGGAUCGUAAAACUCUGUUGUGAGGGAAGAACACGUACCAACUAACUAUUGGUACCUUGACGGUACCUCGCCAGAAAGCCACGGCUAACUACGUGCCAGCAGCCGCAGUAA
Molecule: ribosomal RNA, 512 nt
Filed under: uncultured bacterium
Lineage: Bacteria
Description: partial 16S ribosomal RNA
Rfam family: Bacterial small subunit ribosomal RNA
Source: RNAcentral